GUCUUGAUAGUUUAAUUAAAAUUCUAAAUUGUGGUUUUAGCGAUACAUCAAUUGUUCAGGACC
This 63-nucleotide transfer RNA is filed under the name Pharyngocirrus uchidai. RNAcentral's name for it is "tRNA-His". Lineage: Eukaryota; Metazoa; Annelida; Polychaeta; Saccocirridae. The record is from RNAcentral.